RNAcentral lists this long non-coding RNA (811 nucleotides) under Pan troglodytes (chimpanzee). RNAcentral describes it as "long non-coding RNA NONPTRT003132". Lineage: Eukaryota; Metazoa; Chordata; Mammalia; Primates; Hominidae. The record is from RNAcentral.
GUAGCUUGACUACCACACAAAUGAAUCCACUCAAAUGUUGGCAAGUGGAGCAGAGUCCCAGGAAAGGUACAGAAACACCCCCAGUUCAAGGAUCUUCAUACCUGGAUUUAGGCCUACUCCUGCAACUACCCCAGGAGGCUCUUGGAAACCACCGUGAAUUGGACUGCACUGGAAACACAGAUGAAGAAAGUCAACGCCGCUUUGUCCUUCAAUGCCUGGCUCCUUUUUCAGCUUGUCUUGCGAGUCCAGGGAGGGGCACGCCGCCUUUACCCUGUGCUUCCCACGAUCUUGUCUCCUUAAUCCUCACUGCAGCUCUCUGCCAUAGGGUCUUAUACUGCUUUACAUGCAAAGGGCCUCUGAGGGAGUAUUACAGCCGCCUCAUCCACCAGAAGCAUUUCCAGCACAUCCAGGUCUGCACCCCCUGGCUGGACGGCCGAGGACUACCCCCGCUUCUAGGGUCGGUGGACCUGGGUGUCUGUCUGGACACAUCCUCCAGUGGCCUGCACCUGCCCAUGAAGGUGGUGGACAUGUUCAGGAGCUGUUUGCCUGCGUGUGCUGUGAACUUCAAGUGGGUUUCUCUCUCUGCCACCCAGGCCAGAGUGCAGUUGAUGCAGGGCAGGGGAGCCCCGAAGUGGAGCAUAGUGUGUCCGGAACUGGUGGGUUCUUGGUCUCACUGACUUCAAGAAUGAAGCCGCGGACCCUCGCGGUGAGCGUCACAGUUCUUAAAGGCGGCGUGUCCAGAGUUUCUUCCUUCUGAUGCUCGGAUGUGUUCAGAGUUUCUUCCUUCUGGUGGGUUUGUGGUCUCGCUGGC